Molecule: ribosomal RNA, 424 nt
Filed under: uncultured prokaryote
Also listed under: 1 other name
Description: bacterial SSU rRNA
Rfam family: Bacterial small subunit ribosomal RNA
Source: RNAcentral
UGAGGAAUAUUGGUCAAUGGGCGGAAGCCUGAACCAGCCAUGCCGCGUGCAGGAUGACGGCCCUACGGGUUGUAAACUGCUUUUCCCCGGGAAGAAUAAGCCCCUCGUGAGGGGUGAUGCCGGUACCGGGGGAAUAAGGAUCGGCUGACUCCGUGCCAGCAGCCGCGGUAAUACGGAGGAUCCGAGCGUUAUCCGGAUUUACUGGGUUUAAAGGGUGCGUAGGCGGGCGCCUAAGUCAGCGGUGAAAUGCAGCGGCUCAACCGUUGAACUGCCGUUGAAACUGGGCGCCUUGGAUGCGGUCGAGGCCGGCGGAAUGCGUGGUGUAGCGGUGAAAUGCUUAGAUAUCACGCAGAACGCCAAUUGCGAAGGCAGCUGGCCGGGCCGCAAUCGACGCUGAGGCACGAAAGCGUGGGGAUCAAACAGG